AUUGAACGCUAGCGGGAUGCCUUACACAUGCAAGUCGAACGGCAGCGCGGACUUCGGUCUGGCGGCGAGUGGCGAACGGGUGAGUAAUAUAUCGGAACGUGCCCAGUAGCGGGGGAUAACUACUCGAAAGAGUGGCUAAUACCGCAUACGCCCUACGGGGGAAAGGGGGGGAUCGCAAGACCUCUCACUAUUGGAGCGGCCGAUAUCGGAUUAGCUAGUUGGUGGGGUAAAGGCCCACCAAGGCGACGAUCCGUAGCUGGUUUGAGAGGACGACCAGCCACACUGGGACUGAGACACGGCCCAGACUCCUACGGGAGGCAGCAGUGGGGAAUUUUGGACAAUGGGGGAAACCCUGAUCCAGCCAUUCCGCGUGUGCGAUGAAGGCCUUCGGGUUGUAAAGCACUUUUGGCAGGAAAGAAAUCGCACAAAUUAAUACUUUGUGUGGAUGACGGUACCUGCAGAAUAAGCACCGGCUAACUACGUGCCAGCAGCCGCGGUAAUACGUAGGGUGCAAGCGUUAAUCGGAAUUACUGGGCGUAAAGCGUGCGCAGGCGGUUCGGAAAGAGAGGUGUGAAAUCCCAGGGCUUAACCUUGGAACUGCACUUUUAACUCCCGAGCUAGAGUAUGUCAGAGGGGGGUGGAAUUCCGCGUGUAGCAGUGAAAUGCGUAGAUAUGCGGAGGAACACCGAUGGCGAAGGCAGCCCCCUGGGAUAAUAC
This 717-nucleotide ribosomal RNA is filed under the name uncultured bacterium. Its description in RNAcentral is "bacterial SSU rRNA". It matches the Rfam family "Bacterial small subunit ribosomal RNA", at positions 28 to 740 of the family's 1533-position model. The record is from RNAcentral.